CGGGUGAUGGCAGGAACGGCGAUGGCGGCUUGCCUCUAGUACAAUGUGUCGCAAGAGCUCGUAUCCCAACCACACAGGGUCCGGAUA
RNAcentral lists this small nucleolar RNA (87 nucleotides) under Saccharomyces cerevisiae (brewer's yeast). RNAcentral describes it as "U86 small nucleolar RNA". The record is from RNAcentral. Lineage: Eukaryota; Fungi; Ascomycota; Saccharomycetes; Saccharomycetales; Saccharomycetaceae.